RNAcentral lists this long non-coding RNA (2064 nucleotides) under Capra hircus (goat). RNAcentral's name for it is "lncRNA (ENSCHIG00000005215.1)". Lineage: Eukaryota; Metazoa; Chordata; Mammalia; Artiodactyla; Bovidae. The record is from RNAcentral.
GCUCCGGCCUCGGGUGCUCCGCACUUGUGCUGAGCCCUGGUCUGAGUCACGCAGUAGAUGAAAUUACAGAGGUUCUUGCACAUGAUGACUCAGAAAGCAGGAUCAAGGCAAAUAUUUGGACAAGCCUUGCCCCGCGUGGAGCAGGAGGGAGCGGAGCAGCCCGCCAGCUGCCUGCCCAGAGAUGGUUUCUGACAGAGUGCUGCCGGGGGCAGGCCGCUGCUUACAGGGAAUUAGUUCUGAUCCGUGCAGUCACCCGGCAGUUGGAGCGCUUGGCCAGGCCCGCACUGAGAGAGAGGCCUGGGAGCGUCCUAGGACCCUGAGCCGUGAUUCAGUCUCAUCCUCCAGGGAGGGGCCGUGUGGGGACAGCGUGCGAGGGUCUGGGGCCGUGCGGGGAGAUGGUUCACUUUGAGUCAGCCCAUCCGCCUUCUUUUCUGGGAGUCAUCGCGGCAGCAGGCCGCGUUUCCUGCAGCAGUGAGCUGAGGAGACCACGCGGCCCUUCCACUGCCCCUGCCUGGGCCACAGCGGGGAGGUAGGCAGACAUAGUGACCGCAAAAUGGGGAAGGAAGCGAAACCCUGCGCCCUGUGCCAAGGCUUUACUGCUGCGAGGACUUUCAGGAGAGGCUAAUUGCCACCCUUUGCAGCUUCAAAGCCAGGCAUUUUCAAGGCUAUUCAGAACAGCAGCAGCAGCAGCAGCAGCUCACCAGUAAUAACAAAGCUACCGUAGGUUUGUCUGGAAUCUUUACUAAUUUUUCAAAAUUAACUUUUGAAAGAGCUCAGCCUUCUUGGGGUUAUUGUAAGCUACCUUCUCUCCUUUGCAGGGAAGCUCCCAGGAAAUAAACGAGUCUGCCCUGGAGGCAGCAGAUAAACCCCUAGGAGCUAAGGGUUGCUGCUGAUGAAUGGCAGGGAUAGCACAUGUUUUCUGUGAGCUGACUCCAUGCUGGGCCCCAGCUCCAAGCUUCCCACAACAAUGUCCUCGGCGAGCCUCAUGAGAACCCUUACAAGACUCUUCCUCCAGCCCAAGAAAAUGGGACACACUGCAUUCCGGCACAGCAGAAAAAUUUCCCAUAUGUUACAUCCUGCUCCUUUCCCAUUUCACAGCUUAAAAGCAGAACUCUUCAUUAAUUUGAGGCUCCUAGAGGAGUCAGAUUCACAGCGGUGGAAAGUAGGAUGGUGGAUGCCAGAGGGAGAGAGAAUGACGCAGAGUUGCUUCGUUGCUUCAGAGUUUCAGUUCUGGAAGAUGAGGUUCUGGAGAUGGAGCUGGUGACGGCUGCACAACAGUGUGCGUGUACUUACUGUUACUGACCUGAAAACAGCUAGGAUGGUAAAAAUGGGUAAGAUGGUAUAUAUUUUACCACAAGAACAACUCCAUGUUUAGUGUGGAGAUUCCUUAAAAAGCAGGACUAAAUCUACCAUAUGACCCAGCCACCCCUCUACUAGGCAUAUACCAUGAGGGAACUAUAAUCGAAAAAGACAAAUGUACCAAAUGUUCCCCCAAUGCUCACUGCAGCACUCUUUAUAAUAGCUAGGACAUGGAAGCAACCGAGCUGUCCAUCAACAGAUGAAUGGAUGAAGAGGCUGUGGGGCAUACACACAGUGGAAUAUUACUCAGCCAUAAAAAGGAGCACAUGUGAGUCGGUUCUAAUGAGGUGAAUAAACCUAGAGCCUAUUAUACAGAGUAAAGUAAGUCAGAAAGAGAAAAACAAAUAUCGCAUAUAUAUGGAAUCUAGAAAGCGGGUACGGAUGAAUCUAUUUGUAGGGCAACAGUGGAAACACGGACAGAGAGGACAGACUUGUGGACACGGGGAGUGGAACAAAUGGAGAGAGCAGCGUGGACACAUGUAUAUCAGCGUGUGUAAAACAGAUAGCCAGGGGGAUUUGCUGUUUGACUCAGGAGGUCACACCAGUGCUGUGACGACCUAGAGGGAUGGGGUGGGAGGUGAGAGGCAGGCUCAAGGGGCAGGGGACAUACGUCAUGGAUGAUUCCUGUUGAUGUGUGGCAGAAACCAACACAGGAAUGUAAGGCAAUUGUCCUUCAAUGAAAAAUAAGUAAAAAUUGUAAAGCUC